This 427-nucleotide unclassified non-coding RNA is filed under the name Hevea brasiliensis (rubber tree). The record is from RNAcentral. Lineage: Eukaryota; Viridiplantae; Streptophyta; Magnoliopsida; Malpighiales; Euphorbiaceae.
AGCUAAGUAUUCCCAUUGAAGAUUACCUGCCUUCAAAAGGUCCAUAGAAAAUUUCCAGAAGAAUAAUGCAUCCUGUUCUGCUUGUUUGUAAAAACCCUGAUCUAUGGAACAAUGUGGUACCAGACCCAGAAAAGGUAGUUCUAAUAGAGAACUAUGCAUUCAAGAAAAAGCACUACACCGAGAGGCCGAUAAGAACAAAGCAAUUUUCAGAAAUUGGAAAAACAAGAUGCAUAAUACAAUAUUGUCUCAUUAGCAAUGUAUAUAAGAAACGAUGCACUAACAUAACCAUACCAUAUAUCCAAAUAGGACAGUAAGAAUGAAAAGAUAGAACUGAAAAAGAAACAAAAAAAUAGAAUAUAAGGCAGCAGCUUUCAUUUCUAUUCUAGUGAUAUGAAGGCCCAUUAGCCAAUUGUGGAGCUGAAUGAGA